GAUGAACGCUGGCGGCGUGCCUAAUACAUGCAAGUCGAGCGAACAGACGAGGAGCUUGCUCCUCUGACGUUAGCGGCGGACGGGUGAGUAACACGUGGAUAACCUACCUAUAAGACUGGGAUAACUUCGGGAAACCGGAGCUAGUACCGGAUAAUAUAUUGAACCGCAUGGUUCAAUAGUGAAAGACGGCUUUGCUGUCACUUAUAGAUGGAUCCGCGCCGCAUUAGCUAGUUGGUAAGGUAACGGCUUACCAAGGCAACGAUGCGUAGCCGACCUGAGAGGGUGAUCGGCCACACUGGAACUGAGACACGGUCCAGACUCCUACGGGAGGCAGCAGUAGGGAAUCUUCCGCAAUGGGCGAAAGCCUGACGGAGCAACGCCGCGUGAGUGAUGAAGGUCUUCGGAUCGUAAAACUCUGUUAUUAGGGAAGAACAAAUGUGUAAGUAACUAUGCACGUCUUGACGGUACCUAAUCAGAAAGCCACGGCUAACUACGUG
This 497-nucleotide ribosomal RNA is filed under the name uncultured bacterium. RNAcentral describes it as "partial 16S ribosomal RNA". It matches the Rfam family "Bacterial small subunit ribosomal RNA", at positions 28 to 507 of the family's 1533-position model. The record is from RNAcentral.